This 433-nucleotide ribosomal RNA is filed under the name uncultured bacterium. RNAcentral describes it as "partial 16S ribosomal RNA". It matches the Rfam family "Bacterial small subunit ribosomal RNA", at positions 29 to 507 of the family's 1533-position model. The record is from RNAcentral.
AACGAACGCUGGCGGCAUGCCUAACACAUGCAAGUCGAACGAGACCUUCGGGUAUAGUGGCGCAUGCGUGCGUAACGCGUGGGAACCUGCCCUUAGGGUAGGACUAGCGUAACGAGCGCGGUAGUAAUGCCGGAUACUGUCUUCCGGGCACAGAUUUAUCGCCAUUGGAUGGGCCGGCGUUGGGUUGGCUGGUGGGUAGGGUAAAGGCCUACCAAGGCGACGAUCCAUAGCUGGGCUGAGAGGAUGACCCGGCACACUGGGACUGAGACACGGCCGAGACUCUUACGGGAGGCAGCAAUGGGGAAUAUUGGACAAUGGGCGAGAGCCUGAUCCAGCAAGGUUGCGUGAGUGAGGAAGGCGUUAGGGUUGUAAAGCUGUGUUACACGGGAUGAUAAUGACAGUACCGGGAGAAUAAGCCCCGGCUAACUCCGUG